UACGUAGGGUGCGAAGCGUUGUCCGGAAUUAUUGGCGUAAAGAGCUCGUAGGCGGUCUGUCGCGUCUGCUGUGAAAACUCAGGGCUUAACCCUGAGCUUGCAGUGGGUACGGGCAGACUAGAGUGCGGUAGGGGAGACUGGAAUUCCUGGUGUAGCGGUGAAAUGCGCAGAUAUCAGGAGGGAACACCGGUGGCGAAAGGCGGGUCUCUGGGGUCGU
RNAcentral lists this ribosomal RNA (217 nucleotides) under uncultured bacterium. RNAcentral describes it as "partial 16S ribosomal RNA". It matches the Rfam family "Bacterial small subunit ribosomal RNA", at positions 524 to 737 of the family's 1533-position model. The record is from RNAcentral.